Anneissia japonica is the source of this 958-nucleotide long non-coding RNA. RefSeq lists it as uncharacterized. The transcript has 3 exons. The record is from RefSeq and is a predicted model, not a curated record. Lineage: Eukaryota; Metazoa; Echinodermata; Crinoidea; Comatulida; Comatulidae.
CAGGUCAUUUCACUACCUUCAACCAAGGCCUGAAUGUUGUGGUUCUGAGGAAUAUAGCAAACCCUGCUUUCCAUUUGUCUGUGAUACAGGGAAUGACUGUUGGCUUGGGAACUGGGAAUAAUGACUCAAAGUUCCGAAUUCAUGAGAAACUUGAUCAUCAUGUGACAUUCGAAUGGGUACCAAAGAAUGGGAAUUACAUCCGCAUCCAUUCACAUGGACAGCCGGCAGCUACUAUCGGUGAUAAUAAAACUUCAGACACAGAAUUUUGGGUGAACUUAUUGUCUGGUGUGCAAGUUAUGCAGAGAUGAAAAGGGAGAGAGAAGUGUCAUUCAUUAUUUAUCUAUUUCUUAAAUUGCAUGAUAUUUUCUUUUCAUCUUUUAUUUCGGAAUAUAGUUACAGUACAUGGCGAUGCAAUAUUCUCCAUAGCUUGUAAUUAAUUACGUAUGCUAUAAAAAAAACAGUGUAUUAAUAUACUGUUGCUCAAAACUUAAAAACAAAUUUUAACUGGCUUUAUUAAAUGGUUGCCCUAACCAAUUACACUUUAUUAUAAAAUGGCUGAAGUUGAGAUGUGAUAUAAUAGAAUUAGGUACAAUUGUUUUCAGGGUAAAUAACAUAUAUAUUACAUAUAAAACAACAUACAAUAUAUUGUAUUUAUAUAAUUUGUAGAACAGAAGGAAUAUUACUAAAUAUAAUGAAACUAUGUAACAUUAAGGUUACAUCUUUAAAAUGAGUUGGCAAAGUAGAAAGAAAAGAGAUGGGGACAAAUAGAGGUAAAUGACUUUAGGUUUCUUGAUUAUUGCAAAAUUUAGUAAAUUUUACACUUGUAUAUUACCGAUUUUUAAUAAAAUGAUUUAUAUAAUUAGGUUUCUUGAUUAAGCCAAAAAAAAUUGUUUGUUUGCCCACUUCCACCCGCCCCUAACUCAUUGAAAAAAAUAGGGGUGGAAAAACAAAAAAAAAC